Molecule: long non-coding RNA, 1540 nt
Organism: Betta splendens (Siamese fighting fish)
Lineage: Eukaryota; Metazoa; Chordata; Actinopteri; Anabantiformes; Osphronemidae
Exons: 6
Source: RefSeq, a predicted model, not a curated record
GCAUGAAUAGCAACACAACAUGGCUCGUGGUAACGAAAGCGAGGACAAACCAGAACUCCGCGUCCCGUCGGAGCCGCAGGUUCGGGGCAGCGCCGAGCCUCCUGCGCGUGUUGGUUCGGUGCUCAGUGUAACGCGAAGGUCAGAGACAAGCUGCUGUGCAGUGUAAACCUACAGCAGCUCCGCCAGUAACACGUUGUCUUUGAAUGAGCGACCUGAGCUGCAGACGCUUGUGAGCAGAUUUUGCAGAGCUUCUGGCUUCUCUGUGAUGAUGGUGCCAGGAAUCAUUGUGGAGCUGGUGCGGCUGAAACGCUUCAGGCACAUACAGACAACAGGACAGUCUGAAGGAGCCUAUGGGUUGUCUACCUCCGUCCCCGUGUGAGGCAGUGCUGCAGUCAACUUUGUCGCGCCAUGAAAGCACAUCACCACCAAGAGCCCCAGAGUGCAGAGAAGUUUUCCUCCUCGCCUCCGCGUGUGAUGCAGUCCGAGACUCAGACGAAGGAACAGACGCAUGCACCCAGUCCGGCUGCUGGUGGCGUGUUGGAACAUGCCUUGACUUGUUGUGCUGCCCUGGUAAAGCAGUGAGAAACAACCAAAGAGAGAGGGGCUAGUGGUCAACACUUUGCCUGUAUGAUGUGACCCACACACGGGAGAAGCAGCUAUGGACAGAAUCCUGCUGGUGUCAACACCGGAGAGCAGCCACAGGAGAGGAGCAUGGAUGGAGGAGCUCCACUGCUGACCCCCCCGCUUGAGCUUCCGGCUGCUGUCAUUGGACCACACUACCCCCUGGAGCUUUCAGUGAGACUGAUGCCAACAGCAACCACCACCACAACACAGGAAAAAUGUGAGCGUCCAAAAAAGCCAGACUCACGGGUGGAAGCGCGCAGCAAAGUCCACAGAAGGACGGAUGGUGGGUCGGACGCGGCUGCUGUGGGUGUUUCUCUGGCAGUGUCUUAGCUGGUUGUUGUGAGGAGUGAGAACGAAGCAAUCAGCAAGUAUACUGCCGCAGAAAUUCUUCGCAAUAAGAGGCCCUGGGAUCACGGUCAGCGCUGGGAGCAACACGGGCGCCAGGAAAAGAUUCAAAUCAGCAGUGACCCGCUGCUAGGUUUUCACCUGCCGACCCCGUAGAAAUUAACAAGCACCGAGGAGCCAAUGCAGAAUUAAUAGAAGAUAGAGCAACUGAGAGCAAGGCCUUUGUCUUUACUGCCUCUACAGCGUUAACGUGGAUCAACACCUCAAACUUCUUCAGUGUAAUUCCUUAUCGAUGCUCUGCUGCCACCUGCUGACUGAAAACAGCCUCCCAUCAUGCUUUUGUUCACCAAACACUGCAGCAAUUUAUAAUAAGUGAAUUGUCUUUUUCUUACAAUCGUCUAUUCAUUAUAAAAAUGUGAUGUUGUUUAUUAUAAGUCCAGAUUUGUCUUUGUCUACAAAUUAAGUAUUUUUAAUUGGUUGUUUUACUGGUUGAAUUUACCGCAUCAGUUGCCACUUGAAGCUAAAUAAAUAUAACUGUGAGGAAAGAAAAUAAAAGUUAUGUAAAAACUGA